Molecule: RNA transcript, 4219 nt
Organism: Anolis carolinensis (green anole)
Lineage: Eukaryota; Metazoa; Chordata; Lepidosauria; Squamata; Anolidae
Gene name: zinc finger protein 239-like
Exons: 2
Source: RefSeq, a predicted model, not a curated record
UUUCACCACUGGAUGGAGACAAACACACACAGCGGCUUAUUCCCAUUGACUUUCUCUCCGUCCGCAAUGCGCGCCUUUCACCACUGGAUGGAGACAAACACACACAGCGGCUGAUUCCCAUUGACUUUCUCUCCGUCCGCAAUGCGCGCCUUUCACCACUGGAUGGAGACAAACACACACAGCGGCUGAUUCCCAUUGACUUUCUCUCCGUCCGCAAUGCGCGCCUUUCACCACUGGAUGGAGACAAACACACACAGCGGCUGAUUCCCAUUGACUUUCUCUCCGUCCGCAAUGCGCGCCUUUCACCACUGGAUGGAGACAAACACACACAGCGGCUGAUUCCCAUUGACUUUCUCUCCGUCCGCAAUGCGCGCCUUUCACCACUGGAUGGAGACAAACACACACAGCGGCUUAUUCCCAUUGACUUUCUCUCCGUCCGCAAUGCGCGCCUUUCACCACUGGAUGGAGACAAACACACACAGCGGCUUCUUCCCAUUCAUUUUCUCUCCGCCUGCAAUGCGCGCCUUUCACCACUGGAUGGAGACAAACACACACAGCGGCUUCUUCCCAUUCAUUUUCUCUCCGCCUGCAAUGCGCGCCUUUCACCACUGGAUGGAGACAAACACACACAGCGGCUUAUUCCCUAUUCAUUUUCUCUCCGCCUGCAAUGCGCGCCUUUCACCACUGGAUGGAGACAAACACACACAGCGGCUGAUUCCCAUUGACUUUCUCUCCGUCCGCAAUGCGCGCCUUUCACCACUGGAUGGAGACAAACACACACAGCGGCUGAUUCCCAUUGACUUUCUCUCCGUCCGCAAUGCGCGCCUUUCACCACUGGAUGGAGACAAACACACACAGCGGCUUCUUCCCAUUCAUUUUCUCUCCGCCUGCAAUGCGCGCCUUUCACCACUGGAUGGAGACAAACACACACAGCGGCUUCUUCCCAUUCAUUUUCUCUCCGCCUGCAAUGCGCGCCUUUCACCACUGGAUGGAGACAAACACACACAGCGGCUUAUUCCCUAUUCAUUUUCUCUCCGCCUGCAAUGCGCGCCUUUCACCACUGGAUGGAGACAAACACACACAGCGGCUUAUUCCCAUUGACUUUCUCUCCGUCCGCAAUGCGCGCCUUUCACCACUGGAUGGAGACAAACACACACAGCGGCUGAUUCCCAUUGACUUUCUCUCCGUCCGCAAUGCGCGCCUUUCACCACUGGAUGGAGACAAACACACACAGCGGCUGAUUCCCAUUGACUUUCUCUCCGUCCGCAAUGCGCGCCUUUCACCACUGGAUGGAGACAAACACACACAGCGGCUUCUUCCCAUUCAUUUUCUCUCCGCCUGCAAUGCGCGCCUUUCACCACUGGAUGGAGACAAACACACACAGCGGCUUCUUCCCAUUCAUUUUCUCUCCGCCUGCAAUGCGCGCCUUUCACCACUGGAUGGAGACAAACACACACAGCGGCUUCUUCCCAUUCAUUUUCUCUCCGCCUGCAAUGCGCGCCUUUCACCACUGGAUGGAGACAAACACACACAGCGGCUGAUUCCCAUUGACUUUCUCUCCGUCCGCAAUGCGCGCCUUUCACCACUGGAUGGAGACAAACACACACAGCGGCUUCUUCCCAUUCAUUUUCUCUCCGCCUGCAAUGCGCGCCUUUCACCACUGGAUGGAGACAAACACACACAGCGGCUUCUUCCCAUUCAUUUUCUCUCCGCCUGCAAUGCGCGCCUUUCACCACUGGAUGGAGACAAACACACACAGCGGCUUCUUCCCAUUCAUUUUCUCUCCGCCUGCAAUGCGUACAUUUCACCACUGGAUGGAGACAAACACACAGCGGCUUCCUUGCCCUGUGAGGGUCCGGUGAACUACAACUCCCAGGCGCGGCCCCGCCCCCUCCCCGGCUGUAUUCACAGGGGGACAUUUUGGGCCGGGGUGCCUGAGACGCCAUCUUGGGGCCGGGCGGAAGUCCAGCGAGAGCGGGAGGCCUCCGCUUCCUAGCGCGCCGGGCCCCGCGCUCACUUCCGGAGGGGAGGAGGGGAGGGCAGUUCCUCGAUGGCGGCGGAGAGAAGGAAGCGGCAGGUAACCUCCGAAUAAAGUUUAUGAAGAAGGCCCUGUGAGAUCUUGGGAUACAGAAUACAAUACAAAGGCCGAGAAGAAGACAUCCCGUACUAUUUGGGAGAUCAUCUCCGUGAACUUCUGGCAUAAUAUUGGAAUCGUAAUUUUAAAAAGAAUGGAAAAUCUCCAUCCCUGUUCCACAUCACAUACAGGGGAGAAUCUGCAGAACUAUAUGGACGGCAGGAUAUGUGUGAUGGGGAGAAGUUCUCUUACUAAGCAUCAACAAACGUAUACAGGAGGGAAGCCAUAUACGUGCAAGGAAUGUGGGAAGAGCUUCAGGCAGACCGGAGACCUCAACCGCCAUCGAAGGACGCACACCGGGGAGAAGCCGUUUACGUGCAAGGAGUGCGGGAAGAGCUUCAGUCAGAGCGGAGAGCUGCGUUACCACCAAAGGACCCACACCGGGGAGAAGCCACACCAGUGCGCGGAAUGUGGGAAGAGCUUCGGGCGGAGUGGAGAUCUCCAUCGCCAUAAGAGGACCCACACGGGGGAGAAGCCCUACAAAUGCAUGGAGUGCGGGAAGAGCUUCAACCAGAGCGGAGAGCUGUGUUCCCACCAAAGGACCCACACCGGAGAGAAGCCGUAUCAGUGCAUGGAGUGUGGGAAGAGCUUCAGCCGGAGUGACAGCCUGCGUUACCAUCAGAGGACCCACACGGAGAAGCCACACCAGUGCAUGGAGUGCGGGAAGAUCUUCACCCUGAGUGAACACCUGCAAUCCCAUCAGUGGACCCACACAGCUGAGAAGCCAUAUCCGUGCACAGAGUGUGGAAAGAGCUUCAGCCAGAGCGCAGAGCUGCGUACCCACCAGAUGACCCACACCGGGGAGAGGCCACACCAGUGCAUGGAGUGCGGGAAGAGCUUCAUCCGGAGAGGAGACCUCCGCCGGCAUCAGAGGACCCACACGGGGGAGAAGCCACAUGUCUGCCUGGAGUGUGGGAAGAGCUUCAGCCAGAGGGGGCACCUGCACUCCCACGAGUGGACCCACACGGGGGAGAAGCCCUUUCAGUGCAUGGAGUGUGGGAAGAGCUUCAGCCUGAGUGGGCGUCUGCGCCGCCACCAAAGGACCCACGCAGGGGACAAGCCGUAUCAAUGCGUGGAAUGUGGGAUGAACUUCAGCCAGAGCGAAGAUCUGCUUUCUCACCAAGUGACCCACACACAGAUAAAGGAAGAGCCCUGCCUUUGAGUUUCCUAGUUCUGCAGUGAUGAGAGAGUUCUGGAAAAGGAUAGUUUUUUGGGAGCAGAUAAAGGCAUGCCUUCGUCCUGUUUGUUGGAGCCCUGACUCGGAAGGAGAUUAUGUCUCGAUUGGUCUCCCACACAUCGUCAAGGGUUAUGGGCCCAGCACACUUCCAGGGAAAGCGUGCUGGGCCCAUAACCCUUGUCGAUGUGUGGGAGACCAGUCGAGACAUAAUCACCUUCUCCGUCUCAAUUGCUCCACUUCCAAAGACAUGGAAUUUCAGUCCAGUCCCACAGAAAAUAAGCUGGUGAUUAUAUCUCAAUUAAUCUCCCACACAUAAUAAUAAUAAUAAUAAUAAUAAUAAUAAUAAUAAUAAUAAUAAUAAUAAUAAUAAUUUUAUUUUUGUACCCCGCCACCAUCUCCCCAGAGGGACUUAGGGCGGCUUACAGAUAUAAACACAUGGACACAUAAACACAUGGAUCUUGGCUCCGCUGCCUCGGUUUCCCUUCUGGACUCUGGACUCGCUCCUGUCACCCUGUCCUGGACUCUUUUGUGUCCCGAUUCAUUGACUCUUAAGUUCUGGACUGACUUCGUGGCUUGAUUUUUAGACUUUGGUUUGUAUCCUUGCCUAUCCGGCUUGACUUCAGGACUCUGACUUUGUGUUAUCGAAGGAUUUCAUGGCCGGGAUCACAGGGUGGUUUGGUUGUGUUUUUUCCGGGCUGUCUGGUCAUGUUCCAGAAGCAGCAUUCUUUCCUGAUGUUUUGCCCACAUCUAUGGCAGGCAUCCGGUGUGUGGUGCAGUGUGAGAAGGAGUCUGCGCUGUGUGGAAAAGGGUUUUGGGUGAUUUAUGAUGUUGUAGCUAAGGCCUGAUAUAGUUGGGCAGUCGUGUGAAACUCUUGUAUUACGAAAAAUAAAGAUGUGUGUUAGCUUCCA